AGUAACGAGGUCCAGCGUCAAGCCCUGACUGUGCUGGCCGGCAACCCUCUUCACGGCGGGGUGCCUCAGGUGACUACUCGGCAGUGUUCAUUUGGUUCAUUUGCAAGCGUGAUCA
RNAcentral lists this non-coding RNA (115 nucleotides) under Crystallibacter crystallopoietes. RNAcentral's name for it is "Arthrobacter crystallopoietes SAM-IV sequence". It matches the Rfam family "SAM (S-adenosyl methionine) riboswitch aptamer". From Rfam's summary of the family: SAM-IV is a mRNA element that regulates gene expression via direct sensing of S-adenosylmethionine (SAM or AdoMet). SAM-IV riboswitches share conserved nucleotide positions with the previously described SAM-I riboswitches sequence analysis and molecular recognition experiments suggest that SAM-I and SAM-IV riboswitches share similar ligand binding sites, but have different scaffolds. Lineage: Bacteria; Bacillati; Actinomycetota; Actinomycetes; Micrococcales; Micrococcaceae. The record is from Rfam by way of RNAcentral.